This 439-nucleotide ribosomal RNA is filed under the name uncultured bacterium. RNAcentral's name for it is "partial 16S ribosomal RNA". It matches the Rfam family "Bacterial small subunit ribosomal RNA", at positions 339 to 795 of the family's 1533-position model. The record is from RNAcentral.
CUACGGGUUGCUGCAGUAAGGAAUAUUGCACAAUGGGGGGAACCCUGAUGCAGCAACGCCGCGUGGAGGAUGACGCAUUUCGGUGUGUAAACUCCUUUUAUAUGUCAAGAAAAUGACGGUAGCAUAUGAAUAAGCACCGGCUAACUCCGUGCCAGCAGCCGCGGUAAUACGUAGGGUGCAAGCGUUACUCGGAAUCACUGGGCGUAAAGGACGCGUAGGCGGGUUGGAAAGUCAGGUGUGAAAUCCUACAGCUUAACUGUAGAACUGCACCUGAAACUUCUAAUCUAGAGUAUGGGAGGGGGAGAUGGAAUUAGUGGUGUAGGGGUAAAAUCCGUAGAUAUCACUAGGAAUACCUAAAGCGAAGGCGAUCUCCUGGAACAUUACUGACGCUAAGGCGUGAAAGCGUGGGGAGCAAACAGGAUUAGAUACCCGCGUAGUC